This 259-nucleotide ribosomal RNA is filed under the name uncultured prokaryote. RNAcentral's name for it is "partial 16S ribosomal RNA". It matches the Rfam family "Bacterial small subunit ribosomal RNA", at positions 524 to 782 of the family's 1533-position model. The record is from RNAcentral.
UACGGAGGAUGCAAGCGUUAUCCGGAUUUAUUGGGUUUAAAGGGUGCGUAGGCGGAUAUGUAAGUCAGCGGUGAAACUCACAGGCUCAACCUGUGCCGUGCCGUUGAAACUGUGUAUCUGGAAUGCGGAUGCUGUGGGAGGAAUGUGUAGUGUAGCGGUGAAAUGCUUAGAUAUAAUACAGAACCCCGAUUGCGAAGGCAGCUUACCGGGCUGUAACUGACGCUCAGGCACGAAAGCGUGGGGAUCAAACAGGAUUAGA